This 322-nucleotide ribosomal RNA is filed under the name Klebsiella pneumoniae. RNAcentral's name for it is "bacterial SSU rRNA". It matches the Rfam family "Bacterial small subunit ribosomal RNA", at positions 55 to 375 of the family's 1533-position model. The record is from RNAcentral. Lineage: Bacteria; Pseudomonadati; Pseudomonadota; Gammaproteobacteria; Enterobacterales; Enterobacteriaceae.
AUGCAAGUCGAGCGGUAGCACAGAGAGCUUGCUCUCGGGUGACGAGCGGCGGACGGGUGAGUAAUGUCUGGGAAACUGCCUGAUGGAGGGGGAUCACUACUGGAAACGGUAGCUAAUACCGCAUAAUGUCGCAAGACCAAAGUGGGGGACCUUCGGGCCUCUUGCCAUCAGAUGUGCCCAUAUGGGAUUAGCUAGUAGGUGGGGUAACGGCUCACCUAGGCGACGAUCCCUAGCUGGUCUUAGAGGAUGACCAGCCACACUGGAACUGAGACACGGUCCAGACUCCUACGGGAGGCAGCAGUGGGGAAUAUUGCACAAUGGG